This is a long non-coding RNA of Pistacia vera, 1416 nucleotides long. RefSeq lists it as uncharacterized. The transcript is spliced from 4 exons. Lineage: Eukaryota; Viridiplantae; Streptophyta; Magnoliopsida; Sapindales; Anacardiaceae. The record is from RefSeq and is a predicted model, not a curated record.
GCUUUCCUAUGUACUUUACCCUGUGGGAAGAGUUGUCACAUACCUAUCAAUGUGAAUGCUAAAAGCUCUUGGUUUGAAAGGAAGAAGUGAGCCAUACAUUACUGAAGAUGAGUUGAAGCUGAUGUUGCGCGGAGCAGAGUUGAGUGGGGCAAUAGAGGAGGAAGAACAGAAAAAUAAACUUCAUGGCACCAUUCCAGGAAAAUUUGCAAAGCGCAGCCUCUGAGGACCCUUAACUUCAAUGAGAAUGAAUUUCUAGAUAUUGGUAACAAGGUGGAAGAUACCAAACAUAUUGGCUAGAAAGUCUUCUUGAUUUGCAAGUUCUUGUCCUUCAUUCAAAUUAAUUUUACGGGUCUGUAUGGAGUUGCUCAAAGACGAAGCACUGUUUUCCUAAGUUGAAAGUAUUUGACCUCUCAAGCAAUAGAUUUUGUGGUCCAUUGCCAGCCUGGUAUUUCAUAAAUCUUAAUGCCAUGAAGGAUGUUAGUGAAGCUGAGAGGAAGUUGCAAUACAUGGGUGAAAGUUAUUAUCAAGAUUCCAUUACAGUGACAAUGGAAGGGCUUCAGCUUGAACUAGUGAAAAUUAUCACUGCUUUUACUGCCAUUGAUUUUUCAAUUAACAACUUCCAUGGAGAGAUUCCCUUAGUAAUUGGAGAGCUUCAUUCACUUAUGCACCUCAAUCUUUCUUUAAACAAAUUAAGAGGUUGUAUCCCAUAAUCACUUGGAAAUUUGAAUGCUCUUGAAUCCUUAGACCUGUCUUCCAACAAGUUUGUUAGAUAAUUCCAUGGCAGUUGGCAAAUUUAAAUUUUCUUGGAGCUAACUCAUCAGGCCCGUUCUAUGGUCACCGCACUUUGAUACCUUCGGAAAUACUUAAUACGUUGGAAACUUGGGAUUGUGCAGAUGUCCAUUGUCAAAAGAAUGCAGAAGAGAUGAGACACUACAAGCACCCUCAAAAUUAGAAGAUGAUGCACACUCCACAAAUGGAUUUGGUUGGAAAGUGGUGUUGAUAGGCUAUGGAUGUGGAAUGGUGUUUGGAAUGAUAAUAGGAUAUCUUGUGUUCUCAACAAGAAAGCCUCAGUGGCUUGUAAGGAUCGUUGUAGGAGGACAUCGUCAAAAGGGGAGAAGGCCGAACAAGAGACACCGUGGAAGAAAAGAAUAUUUCUUACAGGUCCAGUAGUUCUAGGUAUUUGAUUCCAUGGAAUUGAAGAAUUUGGGAAAAGAGCGUUAACUUGGCAUGUGAUGAGCCCUGUCCGUUUCCCGUAAUUUGGCGAAGUAAAAUUAACUUGGGAGAAAAACAUCAUUGGUUGGCGACAUCCAUAGAUCAUAGAAAAUUCUCUAACAUUUUCUAGAAUAUUCAAAGCAAGGAUCAAAACUUGGUGCUAUAUUAAUGGUCGAGUAGUCUUAUGAACAAGAGUGAAAACAA